UACGUAGGGCGCAAGCGUUGUCCGGAAUUAUUGGGCGUAAAGAGCUCGUAGGCGGUUUGUCGCGUCUGCUGUGAAAACCUAAGGCUCAACCUUGGGCUUGCAGUGGGUACGGGCAGACUAGAGUGCGGUAGGGGUGACUGGAAUUCCUGGUGUAGCGGUGGAAUGCGCAGAUAUCAGGAGGAACACCGAUGGCGAAGGCAGGUCACU
RNAcentral lists this ribosomal RNA (207 nucleotides) under uncultured bacterium. RNAcentral describes it as "partial 16S ribosomal RNA". It matches the Rfam family "Bacterial small subunit ribosomal RNA", at positions 524 to 730 of the family's 1533-position model. The record is from RNAcentral.